Molecule: long non-coding RNA, 590 nt
Filed under: Nicotiana benthamiana
Lineage: Eukaryota; Viridiplantae; Streptophyta; Magnoliopsida; Solanales; Solanaceae
Description: long non-coding RNA (NBEN_LNC035628)
Source: RNAcentral
UUUGUUUGUCUGGUCCGUUUUUAGUAUUACUGGUAUUCAAGUAUAGUUUUUUGGGUUUAUUCUUGGUUGGUUUUACAAUUUGAAAGUUCUUGGUUUCUUGCUUGGUUGCAAUCUCCUGGGUUUUCUGCUAUUCCCGGUGUUACUGGGUUACUCCUGUGUCGUUGAACUGCUGUUGUUGUGUGUGUGCUGUUAUUGCUUCCUACUGAUCUUCAUCUUCUUUGUAUUCCAAUACCAGGUACACCACUUUGAAUCACUUUGAUGUACGCCUUGAAGAUGAAAUGAAAUGGCAGAAACUUAUGUACUUAUUUAUAGUACAUUUGUACUUUAGUUAAACAUUAAUUAUAUAUUUUCCUUCUAUACGAAUGAUAGAGGUAGUCGAUACGGUAUUUUUGCUUAAUUUGAGCAAGUUGUUAGAUUAUUGAAUUAUAGGACGUAUGGUUGCAAGAAUUGCAUGAAUAUUAGUCAAUAUGGUAUCUUGUUUAAUUUGAGCAAGUUGUUAGUUUAUUGAACUAUAGGACAUAUGUUUGCAAGAAUCGCAUAACUAAUAGCUUCAUCUUUACUAGUUUUCAUGUUUAAAAUAAAGUAAUUCG